Molecule: long non-coding RNA, 320 nt
Filed under: Sorghum bicolor (sorghum)
Lineage: Eukaryota; Viridiplantae; Streptophyta; Magnoliopsida; Poales; Poaceae
Description: long non-coding RNA (SBIC_LNC013427)
Source: RNAcentral
UAGCAAGUUAUAUUUAUUGUGUGUGGAAGUUUAAUUACAAGUUGUAGCAAGUUAUAUUUAUUGUGUGUGGCAAGUCUAAUUACAAAGUUAUAUCAAGUUGUAUUUAUUAUGUGUGACAAGUUUAAUUACAAAGUUUAGGUGUGUGCGUAUGUGGGUUUGGUGGUGUGUGUGGUAUUUUCUCUUUUUAUUAAUUAUUAAAUCAUUUGUGUGAUAUUUUCUUUUUGUUUUCUUUAUGUUAAUUAUUAAAUCAUUAUUAAAAAAAUUAUUAUGUAUAUCUCCACAAAAAUCAUGGACAAGCCAAAAUAUUGGGCACUUAGUCU